Pteropus alecto (black flying fox) is the source of this 3164-nucleotide long non-coding RNA. RefSeq lists it as uncharacterized. The record is from RefSeq and is a predicted model, not a curated record. The transcript is spliced from 2 exons. NCBI's taxonomy places the organism in Eukaryota, Metazoa, Chordata, Mammalia, Chiroptera, Pteropodidae.
GGCCGGUGACCCAUAUUUGACAUUCAUCUUUGGUAAAGGGAGUCAGUGCACCAGCUCCUGCCUGCUCAGGUAAACCACAGGGCUUUGUUAGAUAAUCCAGUCGGGCUGUUCUCUUUUCUAGUAUCUCUAGACCCCUCAAAGGUGAGGAGGGACCUAGAGGGAAGGGAGGCCAGGCCAAAGGGAAAUCCUUGGUGUCACUGCCAGUCUCCCCACUCUUCAUAGGCAGCCCAGAUAAUGUCAUCGUCUGACUCUGUCUUGGUCCUGUUGGUAAUGCUCUAGCUCACUAAAGCCAAGAUUUCAGAACGAAUGUUCCUAGACACUAAAAAUCCAUCUGCAAAACGGUUCCUGUUGUGCCUGAGGGAGCCUUAUGCUUCUAUCCAUCUGGUCGUGGCUGCAUUAGGCCUGUACGCAUCCAGGGCUGCUACAUUUUUGCCCCAGCUUUAGCAUGAACCUGUUCACAGCACAGGCCACGGGCACAUCAGGGGCUGGCCCUCCCCCUGGCCAAGAGCCCCUUGAAUGACUCAGGUGGCUCCCUUCCGUCUCACUCCGAGACUGGUUUUCUAGAAUCCAGGUAUCCAUCCCCAUCCUAAAACUCCUCUCCCACAGCCUUUUGGGAAACAGUCUGCCACACGCAUCACAGGUCUUAAGCUUAUGUUCACACCCUUCAAUUCUAAUUCCAGUCCUUAGGAUUCAUGUCAAGGUUCCGAUCUAAAAUUUAGAGAAGUCAUUGUUUCUGAUCAUAAACGAUGGGGAACAGCCUGAAUGUCCAGCACACAGGGACUGAUGAACUGGCAUACUUUUUAGUGCAGCCACUAAAAAGUCAUGUUGUCAAAGUUUAUGACAACCUAGAGAAAUGCUUGUUUAAUGGUAUGCUGUAAAAAGCCAGAUGUAAAAAACCUCUUAUGCAUCUAAGAGUUUAGAUAUGUGAAAAAUGAGAUACCAAGUGACUAAUUUAACUCUCAUCACAUUGAAGAUCAUCAAGGGAGAGUUCUAAUUAUAAGAUUCAUUUUUGCCUGAAAUUUCCCCUUUUCGUGCACAACUAGACCCUUCCUCCCUUCCUAGCUCCAACAGUGAGGCCUCUGCCCUACCCGCAUCAUGUCCCUCAGUUGAUGUUCUGGAUGUUCCAGUACAUACUACUCGCAGUUCCCUGGAUGUAGCACAUUCUGUACAAAUCCCGUUCUUUCUGCCAAUGUUGUUCCCUGCCUUAUCUUAGCUGGAAAAAUUCUGUGCCUCUUUCAGAGGCCCAGCUCAAACGUCACCAUCUCUACACAGCCAUUCAUCCGUGGGCUUUCUUACUGUCCCUCCGGGCAUGUCGAGCUUCUUGUACUUAUCCUUGGUGAACAUUUCUCUCUCACCACGUAGUUUGUUCUGAAGGUGCUGGUUUCACCUGCCAGGCUGUGAGUGCUCAGCCCAGAGCCAGAGAUGAGAAGUCGUGUGGCAGAAGUUCCCUGGUCACCUCAGGUCCCUCCCAUGCAUUUCAUAGCCUCUUCGCUUCCUUGGCACAAGGGAAUCCAAAGACUGUCCCUUCCCUCGACAUCGCUGACCAGGGACUGCACUCCUCCAGGGUGUGAGAGGAGCUAGAACGGAGCCAGUGCUGUCAGACUCGCUCUUUGCAAACACCAGUUUGAUUAAAGGGCUAAAGGGUCUCAUGUGAUAGCUCUUCCAGACAGUGAGAGCCCAUGGCAUAGGAUAGCACCGUCUCCUGGGCUGAGCACCUGCAGGCCUCUCGAGGGCUGUGCUACCUUUGAUGCUCUAGUCUUGUGCUCAAAAUAUAGUCCCUGGACCAGCAGCAUCACAUCACCUGGGAACUGGUAAGAAAUGCAGGGUCUUGGGCCCCACCACAGACCUAGAGUCAGAAUCUGUUUUAACAAGACCUCCAGGUUGUCCGUGUACACAUUUAAGUGAAAUGCACUUCCCCUACUGGACAUCAACUUUUCAAAUGGCUCUCAGGCCAGAACUUGUCCACUUCUGCCCAAAGGUGGUUUUAGAAUGUAUACAUAGUUUUUCACAAAGGAUUGCAAGGUCUCAGAAGAAUUGUCUCUGAGUAAGUUUUGGAGCCACAGGUAUUCAUUCUGGACUAGGUUUUACAUUGCUGAGUUACUAUCAGAAGUGUCAUCAUAUGUUGUUGUCUUAGGCUGCCAAUAGAAGACAGACUCAUAAAGAUGUCCCUGUCUGUGUCUUAUCAAGCAGUUUAUAUCUCUGUGUGCCCUGCUCCAGAGUAUAUGCUGGUUGUGCUUCUCCCCAGAAGCUUUUGGCUCAGUUCUGAUUUUAGGGGCAUAGACGGAAGCUGUUUGACUCGGGCUGGAUGGAUGCUGUGAGCACUAGCCUUUGAUCAUGACUGGAUCCCUCCCCACAUCUGUAGAUAGAGCCUGUCGGGUGCCAUGUUGGUGGGUGAGGAGCACGCUCCUGUUUUUCAGUCCAGAGUGGAGAUGGAGUGAGAUGUGGAUGGACCACCUGUCAGAUGAGGAAACUGAGAUCCAAAGAGAAGAAAUAACUUGCCCAUGGGAUCGUACCUAGUCAGCCACAGAGCCUGGAUCAAACCUGAGAAGUCCGACCCCAGAGAGCUAGCCCUAACCCAGUUGUCGUCUGACUCCCUGCUGCCAUCCCAGAUGCUGCAUAAAAUACGGUUGGAGCCCUCACCUUCCCAGAGCCCACAGGAGAUGCCACAUGCCUUUCAUAUCACCCUUGCACUGAUUUCUCCCUAUAUCUAUAGCUAGUUGGAUGUGAUUCUGAGUGUAUGUUCCCACUUGGAAUGAAUGGCUCCAGCUGAGGAUUCUGUAGGAUCCCAAGUUCUGGAGGUUUGAGCCUGCAUCUGGGUGACUAUUGAGAUGCCAUGAUUCGGUCAUGCUCUGCCACCACUCAUCACAGGGAGGGGCCCUCACACCAUGGCAUCCCAUUCCCUCUUGUCCGGAUGGGGAAACAGGCUCAGAGAGGAAGGGAACUACUGGAGACCUCAUAGCACAGCCAGUCAGGCUAUACACAGAGGAUGGAUCAACAUUUCCUUUUAAUUCAGUGAGUGAAGUUAAAAGCGACAUCCUUAAUGAUUUGCAAUUGCCUCUGAGAAGCGGGUGAUCAGAGUCCUUGCUCAAGGAGCCAGGCUGAAGAAGAAUGUGAGAAGGGCACCCUCAAGAUCAUUUAGGGAAAUAAAGUCAUUUCAUCUUUGA